AGAGCAGUAGAGCAGUUCAUAGUCUCCUUGUCCACGAGAUCUCGAAAAUCAAAAUUAUGGAAUCGGCUUUUAGUUUCAGACUGCUUCCAACUACGCAUCUUCGUAUCCUCCAUAGCAGUUCCCCAAUAAACUCAGAUUAUCGGCAAUUGGAGCUGAAUAUGGAGAUGGUUUUGAGACAUUGAGACCAGAUGGACCCUUGAAAGUUGAUGUUGCAAGUAUCCCAGAUUCUUGAGUUUAUAUCUGAAUUUGUUUGCGUGCAGGAUUUUCUAAAUGGUAGACUGCAAGAGGGUUUUCUAAAGCGAAUUCUAUAUGCUAUGAAGCCUGAUGAAGAGUAUGGGGACUCGUUUUCUCCUGGGACAAUGUGAUGGUACUCAAGCUUUGAAUUUGAGUGCUUGGAAACAACUUGGGUAUGAAGAAGGUAUGUGGUCUUGUUACCCAUGUAAUAAUGGGGUUUCACAGGAUCGAAAAUCAUCCAAAUCCGUGGUGCUCGAGGAUGAUUUCCUUGGGGUAUUAUGGCUGCUCACAACUUCUGAUUAUGUUGAGAACUUGCAGGUAUGAUCUGCUGUUGGUAGCUUCAAUGAACUAUCUAUGAUCAAUCUUCAUAGACUAUUCACUCACAAAGGUUCGCUUUCAUGGACCUACAAAAGCAAGUUGUAGAUUAAAACCAUCCAAGAAUCAAUUCCCGUUCUUUUUCCAAUAUAACUUGUAUACAUGUUUUGCAUUGUUCAUAUACAAUCAGGUGGGUAGGUCAUGAAAUUGGUGCAUUUACCAGACUUCAUGUUCAUUCUACCCAAUUGACUUCAUUUGUUUAAAAGGAGGAAGCACAGUUUUUUUU
This is a long non-coding RNA of Cynara cardunculus var. scolymus (artichoke), 835 nucleotides long. RefSeq lists it as uncharacterized. The record is from RefSeq and is a predicted model, not a curated record. The transcript is spliced from 4 exons. NCBI's taxonomy places the organism in Eukaryota, Viridiplantae, Streptophyta, Magnoliopsida, Asterales, Asteraceae.